RNAcentral lists this long non-coding RNA (422 nucleotides) under Olea europaea subsp. europaea. Lineage: Eukaryota; Viridiplantae; Streptophyta; Magnoliopsida; Lamiales; Oleaceae. The record is from RNAcentral.
CUUCCAACAAAAAGCCAACUAUUUUCUACCUCUAAAAUUAUCCCAUACAAAACAUAUUAAACCGUCUAAUCUAACCUCAUCACUACAAGAAAAACCAUCAAUGGUGGUUUUGGUAGGGCAUUUGCACUGGUGGUGCAGGGCGGUCAACUGGCCCAUUCCCCAGUUCACCUUUUAGCUCAACAAUAUUAGCAGUCAUUUCAAAUUUGGACAAUUAAGGUAGAGGCACCACAUUUGAGAAUUUGUGCUACCAUUGAACUUCAUAUGCCCCUUUCAUCAAGUCAUCGCCCUUUUGCAGUUGUGCAUCCACCUUUGACACAAUAAUUUCCGCAUUUCUAUUCACUGCAUCAACUAAUAGUUGCACAUCACUUCUCCUAUUUUCCAGUUUUCCCACUUCAUCCCUCAAUCCGUGAAUGUACUUAUUU